RNAcentral lists this ribosomal RNA (425 nucleotides) under uncultured bacterium. Its description in RNAcentral is "bacterial SSU rRNA". It matches the Rfam family "Bacterial small subunit ribosomal RNA", at positions 354 to 776 of the family's 1533-position model. RNAcentral also lists the same sequence under 1 other name. The record is from RNAcentral.
GUAAGGAAUAUUGGUCAAUGGACGCAAGUCUGAACCAGCCAUGCCGCGUGAAGGAUGAAGGCCCUCUGGGUUGUAAACUUCUUUUAUCUGGGACGAAAAAAGGGGAUUCUUCCUCACUUGACGGUACCAGAGGAAUAAGCACCGGCUAACUCCGUGCCAGCAGCCGCGGUAAUACGGAGGGUGCAAGCGUUAUCCGGAUUUACUGGGUUUAAAGGGUGCGUAGGUGGGUAGGUAAGUCAGUGGUGAAAUCUUCGAGCUUAACUCGGAAACUGCCAUUGAUACUAUUUAUCUUGAAUACUUUGGAGGUAAGCGGAAUAUGUCAUGUAGCGGUGAAAUGCUUAGAUAUGACAUAGAACACCAAUUGCGAAGGCAGCUUACUACACAGUCAUUGACACUGAGGCACGAAAGCGUGGGGAUCAAACAGG